ACAAUUGCCUGCUCCUGUUUUUGCAUUGGUUUGUAGUUCUCCUCAAUGCAUUCUUUGCCAAACCCUUCUAGUUUGGUAAUAUCUUCAAUCUUCUCAUAAAUUGACUGCAAAAUAUUUAAAGAGUUAAACUUAUUGCCAUCACCAAUCUGACACAUAGCAAGAUAUAUAUUUAUUGAAAUACCCGAUCAUUUGAAGUUUGUAGCAUCAUGAUUUCUUCUGACAUACAUUGAAUCCUUUGUUCUUCAUUGUCAUCCAUUAUCUCUUCUGGAUUAUUCUCAUGCUUGUUCUGCACAUUUGCAGUUAGCAUAAAGAUAUUUAUAAAGGUGAUUAAACUGGAAAACACAUGUUGAUUGAAAUACCUUAUCAACUGAAAAUUCUGACUUACUAAUCAUUUUUUAUUUAUAUUGCUUGGGAUCUUCAUUUACCAUUGGUGUUUCAUCUUCCUUUUUACUUCUUUUGCUAUUCAUCUUCUUCUGCUUUAAUUUAUGCCCAGUUUGUGGCUUCCAUUCUUGAUCGGGCUCUUCUGUGAUGAUAUUGCCGUUGCUCUCAGAAUACCUCUCUCUUGCAAUAGUAUUUUGCUGUUUGUACAAAUAUUUAAAUUAUAUUAUUUGUCUAUUUAAAUAUAAAUUGACACAUAUGAAAAUUGAUAUUUCGUAUUUAUGUAGUACCUGAUCAACAUUUAUCUGAACAUUUGAAUCUUCUGAUUUACUUAAUCUUCUCCCUGUAUUUUGGUUCUUCUUUUGCUUGUGUUUUAUCUUUUGGAGGGUCUUUGCUUCCUCAUUGUUGGUGAUGUUGCAUUUCCUGUCACCCUUUAGGUCCGCUGAAUCUGUGGUGUAUUCUCUCUACAAUAAAAAAAAAACAUUUGUUGAUUCAUUGAACUCAAACAAAAAGAAAGAGUUUCUGUUCAUUCAAAUACCUCAUAAGUUGAAUUUUUCUGCUCGAUAUCAACUGUUUUGCCUUUUCUUUUUUCAUGAGCAACUUUUUUCCGUUUUAUUUGACCUCAUUGAACUCAAACAAAAAGAAAGAGUUUCUGUUCAUUCAAAUACCUCAUAAGUUGAAUUUUUCUGCUCGAUAUCAACUGUUUUGCCUUUUCUUUUUUCAUGAGCAACUUUUUUCCGUUUUAUUUGACCACCAGUUUCUUUAUGCUUCCUCUUUUUAUUAUUUGAUGUCUCUUGGAGGCUCUCUCUGUUUUUAUUGGUGCUGAUGUUGUCUUUCUUGUCAUCCUUUUGCUCCUUUGAAUCAUUGUUGUAUUUUCCCUAAAAAACCAAAAUUUGUUGAUAUCAUUGAACAAAAAAAAAAACAAUACAAAUUCAAAUACCUCACAAGCUGAAUGUUUAGUCUCAAACACAACUAUUCUGUCUUUUCUUUUUCUGUGAUGAAUUUUCUUCCUAUUUGUUUGACCACAAUUGUCCUUGUGUUUCAUCUUUUUGCCACUAAUCUUUUUGCUUAAUCUUAUUCCAGUCUCUAUAGCAUCUUCUAAUUUUUGUUUCGCGUGAUUGAAGUCAACAUCUGAGCCUUCAAGUUCAAGUGUUGUUUUUUGCAUACUUGUCUCUUUGUAGUCUUCUUCUGAGUCACUGUCUAUUAUAAUUGUUUUAUUCCUUCUUUUCAGAUUCAGUUUUCUUGAUGAUGAAUAGUUUCCUUUACAUCAAUUUUGAUCCAUGCUGAUUCCAUCGCUAUCUUCUAGUUCUUCUUUACCAUGCGUCACUAAGAUCGAUGCCUUUUCGCUAGUUGAAUCCUUGAUGCAGCAUUUUGGCACGUAUAUCUUUUCAAGCACCUUAUUUUUGGCCUCUUCCAAUUUACUUGUUUGUUGUUUCAUUAUAUCUUCCAUGUCCUGAUCAAUCAAAUCCUGACAAACAGAAUACACAAAGAUAACAAUUAAUAACAUAAGGUAAUAUAAUUACUCAAAAUAUGUAGAAAGUAUUUUUUUACCUUUUUAGCUUUAUCAUUCAAGAAUUUUGUCUCAAGCUUGUUGUCAGGCACAAAUGUUUUUUUUACUAAGUAUCUUGGUUUUUCUUCAGUCAAAUUUUGAUUGCUCAGCUUGAACAUAAAGAUAAGUGUUUUUCCACAUAGUUGUUGUAUAAUCUCUGGUACAUCUUCAGUAUUUCCAUUCAGUGAAUCUAGUAAAUCUGAGAUAGAUGUGCUGAGCAUUCUCUGUGCCUCAUCAUCAAAUAUAGUGCAGGUAAUAGUGGUUGUGUGGUCACUGAUUUCCAAUCGAAUCCAAUACCUAUUAUAGCACAGUUGUUAGCGCAAUGAAAAUUUAAUAAAAAAAAAAGUUAAUAUAGUGCAUGUAGAAUUGAAGCAAUGUUGCUGAAAGCUGGUACACCAUGUUUACCUAGGUGUCGACUUUUUUGGGUAUUCUUUGCAAUUGUUACAAUAGUACUUGUCAUCUAUCUUAGUGCACAUUUUGCUGCAAAUGUUGCAUGACAUGUACCACCACUUAGCAUUUUCUUGCAGCUUAUCUAUCCUUGCUUUUGAUGUAAAUACAAAAUCCUACAAAUAAAAAAUUGAGUGUUAGAAUUUUAAAAACACAAUAUUAGCUCCAAAAGAAAUAUUGAUGUUAAUACUUGAUUUGUUUGGUUGUCAUGUCUUAUUUCAGAGAUUUCUCGUAAUGUCCUUCUGUUAUAAAACAUUUUCUCCUCUAGUGUCCCAUGUGUACUUUUGUUUACCUCCAUCAUUUUUGAUAAAGUUUCUUCCCUUGAGUGCCUAAAAAAUAUAUCGUUAAUAUGUAAUAAUUAUAUAUGUACAAAAAUUCUUUUAUAAUAAUAUUUUGAAAAUAACAGAACAUACUGCAUACCUGUCAAUAAGAUUCCAGGUUUCUGGUACAUCUAAAUCUGUAUACAAUCUUAUGGCGCUAGUGGUCUUUAGAGAUAUAACUGUUUGAUUCAUUUAUAUGUUAGCUUUGUUGAUCAGGGAGCAUUAUAAUAUAUUACAAAAUUGAUUAACUUACCUUUGAACUUUGAAGCUUCAACCAUUGUUGAUGUAACAAUAAGAACUGUAUGCUUUCCAAUUACAUCUUCACUCAAAUAAUGUGCUAGCUCUCCCCAUAAUGUAAUUUUAGCCUUUUCGCCCCUAAAAUUUGUUUUGAAACAUUUAAUGUUCAAACUGAAUGCAAGAAAAAAUUCUUUGCUCUCCAUAAAUUUAAUUAAUAGCCUUUCUUACUCUAACAGGAGAAGUUCAAUCUCAUGAAUAUCUUUCGUUCGCGGAUUGGCAGUGUUCUUCAUUAUUGUCCUUUGUUGUACUCGUAAAAUAUUGGGAAUCAUCUUGGGGUGGUUACUGUACAAUUGCUUCUUUUUUUUUCAAAUGUUCCAUUGGAUGCAAAGCAAGGUUAAAGAGAUAGAGAUGCAGCCAGCUUCAAAAGAAUAAAAAUAAAUAGAUGCAGAAUACUUUUGCAGUUAGAAAAACAUGAGAUGAUAUGCAAUGUGUAUGUCAAUACAGUGACAGUCUUGAGACAUUACUCAGGUUUGUCUGUUGUUAUAUUCUGUUAUUUUCUUUCUCUUGCCUUCUAACACGGUGUUUAUACAUGUACCAUUGAUAUGAAGAUCUGGCUUAACCAUGUCAUCUUAUUUUCUUUUUUUAAUUCAUUCUAAUUUCUUUUGUUUUGUUUAUAGAUCGUGUCAACAAACCUAGUUGACUCUUUACUGUGCACCAGAGAAGCCAUGAAUGUCAUGCAAUACCAAGAGAAGGAAGGCCAUAUAUUUAACAUGGAUGGAGCAGGUUCUAGAGGAUCAAGUACACCAUUGACAGCUGUCUAUGGUUCAACUCAGAAGAUCAAAAGUUGGAGUACACACUGCUCUCCUGGUAUGAUCCUCGCAGACAUCUUUUUAAGUGACAGCCAUGAAGAUGAGAUGUGCAAGUAGCAUACCAGAAGUUGACUACAGCUUGCUAGAUCAAGCAACUUGUAAUCAAUCUGCCAAGUUGAAGCCAGAAGUUGGCGCUGGAAGUUGACUUCAAUCAAUAAAAGAGAGAGAUCUAGAUAUAGAGCUUAGGUGAAUCAAGCAAGUCGGCCAGAAAUAGUUCCGGCAAGAAAUCCGUUGUCAGGUGUCUGCAUUGUUGUAUGGCGAUGCAGUCCGUUGUCAGGUGUUUGAAUUGUUGUAUGGCGAUGUAGAACCAAGAAGCACGUUCUUUAAUAUAUAAACAGAAGAAACGCAUCCAACUGGAGUUUGUAUC
This is a long non-coding RNA of Phragmites australis (common reed), 4167 nucleotides long. RefSeq lists it as uncharacterized. NCBI's taxonomy places the organism in Eukaryota, Viridiplantae, Streptophyta, Magnoliopsida, Poales, Poaceae. The transcript has 4 exons. The record is from RefSeq and is a predicted model, not a curated record.